This is a long non-coding RNA of Lolium rigidum, 631 nucleotides long. RefSeq lists it as uncharacterized. Lineage: Eukaryota; Viridiplantae; Streptophyta; Magnoliopsida; Poales; Poaceae. The record is from RefSeq and is a predicted model, not a curated record. The transcript is spliced from 2 exons.
AAUUUCUGCAUGUUCCUAACUUCUGAUCUGUAACCUGCAGAUGCUUUUUUUUUUCAUUCGUCCAAAGUUGCAGCACAAGAGCUCGAUGGUGAAGCCUCAAGAAAAUCUGCACCCUGCGAAGUGUUCAAGAUAAUUGCAUCUAGAUAUUUUGACAACCAGUUGUAUUUGAAUAUUUUGACAAAUGCAAUAGAACUAUUCCUAUACAUAUUGAUUAAAUAAGCAUUCUGUUCUAAUUAUCCUCUUCAUUUUUCAUAACAGGAUUUCUUGUUGCACUUGAUGUCGCGCUCACCUGUCAUUGAGUGCCUUGGCGUCUUCCUCGACCUCUACGACCAGCUGAUUAGCUUACCGGCUGGAGGGAUUCAGUGCUCUCAGGAAAAUCUGUACGAGCAGAAAUUGACUUCAUCGACACUAGUGGCUGAAAGGAUUUCGUGUGAAGUGUGAAGCCUUACUCAGCAAGUAGAAGCUGUUGAACUGUGAUAGCUUAGGUUUAUAUUUUUUGAUGUUUCUCUUUUCCCACAGUAAUACUGUACAUAAUAGAUUUAGCUGUUAUUUGAGGAGUGAUGGUCUGUCCACUUGAGAUUCUUGUACGUACGAUUUUGAAAUGAAACUUGGCUAUCUAGAAUGUUAUGGG